RNAcentral lists this transfer RNA (62 nucleotides) under Somatochlora arctica. Its description in RNAcentral is "tRNA-Ala". It matches the Rfam family "tRNA". Rfam says of the family: Transfer RNA (tRNA) molecules are approximately 80 nucleotides in length. Their secondary structure includes four short double-helical elements and three loops (D, anti-codon, and T loops). Lineage: Eukaryota; Metazoa; Arthropoda; Insecta; Odonata; Corduliidae. The record is from RNAcentral.
GAUAAUAGUUAAUUAUAACAUUUGAUUUGCAUUCAAAAAGUGCUGUAUAAUCAGCUUAUCUU